AAGCACAGUAUUCAUUCCUUCAGU
RNAcentral lists this non-coding RNA (24 nucleotides) under Arabidopsis thaliana (thale cress). Lineage: Eukaryota; Viridiplantae; Streptophyta; Magnoliopsida; Brassicales; Brassicaceae. The record is from RNAcentral.